UUGUGUAUUUUCCAGCAGCAGCUGAAGACCUCUGCUGGUGCCUCAGAGUUUGUAUAUUCCUUCAAACCUCACUUUUUGACUCAACUCCACGAAGGGUUAACCAUCAACGUAGCAGUUCUUGGCCUGCUGCAUAACUCUUACAAUCCUCUAUCCUUCUCACCAUCUUCUGCUGCUCUCCUCUUUCUUUUAUUGCAAUUUUCUUUCCGCCAUUGCUGCACUUUAGUUGUUUCCUACCCAAAAAUAAUGACUUGUUUUCACCUUAUCGGAGCCAUCUCCCAAUUUGCCAGGUUUGGAGACUUCUCCAUUCAAUCAUUACAUCUUCUCACUGCUCCUAAGGACAUUGUUUUUGCACUCAGUGCUCCCCAACAUUCAUUCCAGCCAUUUCCAGAUCAGUCUAACUACUUUGUGACCCUGAUUGGUGCAUUGUUAUCAGCACCUUCACUGCCUUAAUCACAACUCCAUUCCCUGCACCUUUCCAUCCCUACUGCAUCACAGAAAUCUUCCAUUAUCCCACUUACCAACCUUCCUUCUGCUAUAAAUUCAUUGCCUAUAUUAUACAGAAAAAUGCACAAAGUGCAGCUCAGACAAACUCUGCCUUCUGACGUCCUACAUUGUGUUCGUAAGGAAACUCCUAC
Molecule: long non-coding RNA, 635 nt
Filed under: Phaseolus vulgaris (common bean)
Lineage: Eukaryota; Viridiplantae; Streptophyta; Magnoliopsida; Fabales; Fabaceae
Description: long non-coding RNA (PVUL_LNC002549)
Source: RNAcentral